GAUCUUAUCAAUACCAUGAUUCGAAAAUAUGUUUCCCAAAAUAUGCCUAGACUUUUCUCAUAAAUGAGAAUGUGAUGAAUAAAAGAGUGAAAAUAAAGGAUAAAAGGCUAAGCGUAAAAAAAUAAGAAACAAGAAGGGAUAUGAAGACAAAUAUGGCCAUAAUUAAGGUGAUUUUAUUCCAAAGAACCUUCCGGAUCUAAAAGAUCAAUGUUUGCGCUAGUAACAGCACCAUCCAAAAUGAGUUCAGAUAACACUUUUCCUGUACCAGGUCCCAAAGUUAUACCCCAACAGCCGUGAGCUGCCGCAACAUAAAUAGAUGAACCAAUUUUUCCAAUGACAGGAGCACCCGUUGCAUUAGAAAUGGGCAAAUAACACGCUUGACGAACUUUAACAGGAGAAUCACGAAUUAUUUGGUGGAAAUGGUUGGCACAUUGUUUAAUCAAAGCGCAUUUAUCUUGAUCCACCUUCGUAUCUGACGACAAUUCAGGCAAAGGCUCGUCAUCGAAUUCACCACAUACAUACAGCUCAUCUUCACGUGCAUAAAACUCCGGAGCAGCAAUUGUCCCAUCUUUAUAGGUAAUUUCAGAAAAUACAGCAUUGCCGUUUAGCUUGAUAGGAAGAUCGAUAGUUAUGCUAUGAAUUCGUGCUCCACUUAUUCGCAAGUUGGGUAUUAAUUGGGGAGUCCAAGGACCGGCAGCGACAAUUAUGUGAGUUGCCUCCAUUGAAUGAAUGGUAUGCAGUUCUUCAGCCGAAGUAAUUUCCUCCUCUUCAUCCGGGGCGUAGUCAUCACCAAUAAGCCGAUAUUCAACUUCAUUUUCAUCAACACUUAAUACAUGACCUUUUACCAAGGUAACGUUUGCAACCUUACUGGCCUCUUCGUAAAUAGCAUGACAAAAUUUAUAAGGAUGAACUUGACCAGAAUUUUUCUUGUUUCCUAAACGAGUAACAUUCUCAACAAUAGAGGGAGCAAUCCAUUCAAUUCCCUCAGGCAAUUUAUCAGGUUGUUGGCAAUUUUCGUCAGCUUUAAUGGACCAAGUAUCUAACGCUCGAUAACCCCAUUUAUUGACUCCAUCAUAUUGAUCCGAUAAUUCUUUGUGUAGGUUGUACGAAAGAGCAGCUAAAGAACUCGUCGAAGGGCCAUGCCAUUCUAAGGAAAGGAAACCAGAUGCUUUUCCAGAAGCGGCAGAUGCAAUACCAGCACUUUCAAAAAGUGUUAUAGUGUCACGAUCACGAUUAAAACUGGGGUGAUGAGCCAAAAAAUAUAAACAGCUCACACCGGUGAUUCCACCUGAAAAAUAUUUGUUAGUAAGUUAUGAAAAUUGCGGCAGUAAAGUAAAAUAGCAAUCAAAGCAAAGCUCAUCUGAGCAUGGCAGGAAAGAAGUUUCACCGUCAUAAAGCUGAUGAACUUCUUGUCAAUAUCAACAACAUCAACAAUAUAUGAGUUAAGAUAAAAGAGAUCAUGAGUCCAGCUAUUUUUAAAGUCACAUACCACCGACAAUUACAAUGUUUCGAGAAUUGCUCAUUGUUAUUUCUAAAACUCGGUUUAAAUUUAAACCAAGUAAUGUAGACUCUGAAAUUUAAUUAUAUACCAAUAAUUCCAAUUUUCAAAGAAAGAUUACGAAUUUAAAAUUUUCACAACGUUGGUGUUGGGUAGUUCGGUGGUCAAGAUGUGCGCGCUAAUCUUCUAAAUCCGUUGAACUUAAAACCAAUAGUGAGUGGUCAGCGCAAGUUGGUAGUUAAAGCGUUUAAAAAGCUCGUCGUCAAUCUAUUUCAAUGAGCACUAGUUAAAUUAUAAAAAAAGAUUAAGCACAUAAACAAUCUCAAUAGUUAAUAGUUAUGCUAUUUACUGAAUUAUACAUGCUACUACUCGAGCGUAGACUAAUUUUAGACUUCUCGAAAAACAACAUGUGUAUAAAAAUAAUUGAAAUUUCAUUUUGUAGAAUGUUUGACUUAAUGCAUGCUCGUGUUCUACCAUUCUACCAACGAUACAUCAAUCAGAGUAUGUUUCUCGAAAAGACAGUUCUGCAACAGCACAAUGUAUUUGCCUUAGAAAAUGUAACAAGUUAAUUACACCGAAAAUAUAAUUGAGCAAUAUUUAAAUAGUGAGUCUUCGCCAAUGAUUCGUCACUUUAUAAAAGAAACGAAGAAACAUUAGCACACAUCGAAUGAUUUCUAAACGAUUUUCAUCUUAACAUUAGUCCUAUUUUACUUCAGAUUGAAAAAUUUUACAGAGUUCUACAUCAAUUUGCGCAACAGACAUUAUGAUAAAUAGAAUAGGGAUUUAAAUCAUUAUAUUUACAUACUCAUAAGAAGAUUUUUAAAGAAAUAUGACAAAAUGUCAAACGAGCCAGCUCUUUCUAUUAAAAAUGAUGAACAUGAUACACACUUCAAAAAAAGGGCAAUCUUCCAACUAAACUAACUUCCAAAAUUAGAAAAAAAAAUUAUGCAAUGGUAGAAAGAUUGCAUCAUUAACCUAUUUCUCAUUCUCCUUAGGCGCCAAUUUUCCAGAUAAUAAACCUGCAAGCAUUUCUUGUGCUCGUUGUGGUGAUUUGAUAGGAGUACUUUGACUUAAGAUUCGGUUAUGAUCCAAAAUAGAAACGGAAGGCGAUACUAAUAUUUUGUUGACGGGCGUUUCUUCAGAAGAAUAAACCUUCUUACCUCCUACUGAUUGAAGAUGUCGUUCAGAGUUUUGUUUCAAUUUUUCCAGACGUUCCAUAUAUGAGGACUUAUUGCUGCCGUCUGGUUUAGUAGCUUGUUGAAAAUUCAAAUCAUUAGUUCCCGAAAAUUUAUUGCUUUUCAAAGGACUCAUUUGCUGCAACAUGCGUCGACGGCCACGGCUAUUGUUUCUUCGUAAAAUAGUGUUAAUAUCAUUGUUACCAGGUUUAGCUCUGGCUGUUGAAAUCGUAGUUGUAGUCGGAAAAGUUUCCUUCAAGUCAUUGGUGGCAUUUUCUAAGUUCCGAGAGACAGCGCUGGUAUCUUCAUUAAGUUCGGUGUUAUUAGGAAUCAUGGGAGCAACCAGAUUAUUUUCGACACCACGAGGAAAAGUAUUCUCCUUUUCGUUAGCAUGUUUACUUGCCCUAGUACCAUUUGAAAUUGUCGGCGUAAGCAAAUUAACUUUAGAAGCCUUUUGAGGAAAUACUUUCUUCUCGUUUGAAAUAGUAUCAGAUUUUAGAGAUUCUUUAGACGGUUUAUUCUGAGGGCUUGUCUGGUUAUUGUUUAUACCUUUAUCCUUUCGAGCUUUACCCGUCUUCUUAGAAUCCCGGUUUUGUGAACCUCUUCUUGAUUUUGAACUAAACCUUCGAAAUUUCUCACCAUUAAAGGGUUUUUGCCUAUUAGAAUCUUCCAAACUGCUUGGAUCAGAAAAAGUGUAAGAAGCGGAGCGACCCUUAUUACUUUUAUUCUUCGAAUUUUUGUUAAGGACAUAGCUAUCAGAUACCUGACGGCCCGAACGACGCUUUUCGUAGUUGUAUCCCUUUUUAGCUUUGCUAGAUACUUCUCCUUUUUUCGUUGGAGUAAUAUUUAAUGCGUCAGAUAAUCCAUCGGUUGAUUCACUACCCUUAGGAUACCUUGGCCUAACUUUUGCCAAGUCACUUUUUACCGAAGAUCUCUUAGGAACAAAUAAUUCGUUUUUUGCAGGACUAGAUUUAGUAGAAGUGUUAGGAGCUUCUAUUAAAUGUUCUUUACCCAUAGUAAUGGCGGAUCUAUUUCGUGGUUUAUGGUGACUUUCUAAUUUGACGUUUCUCAAUUUAUCAAGGAAACCAUCCAUUGCUUCAUUAUCCAUUUUGUUAUUUUCAGACAUUGCACGUUCAAGCACGUGUUCUUUAUGAUUGUUGACAAGAUUCAAACGUCUAUGCUGUGAAGCUUCUUCUUCUUCCGAUUUCAAGUUGUCAGAUCUAGCCUUAGAGUAGUCAAUUAUGAAAGAAUCAACACGUUUAAAGAACAGGUUCUUGGAAUUAGGGUCAUUAGGCUGUUCACCAAAAUAUCUCAUAGCAUUGUUCAGGGUAGUAUUCAUUGUACGUAAAUGCUCUUUCAAAAAAUCCAUUUUUUUGGUGCCUUCCAUUAACCAGGGUAAUAUAACUGAAAGGAUUUUAUCAUCAGGAUGAAAUACCGUAGGGUCGGAAAGAGCCCCAGAAUCACAGUCUAUUUGUAAAUUCUGACAACCACGAAUUAACUCGGAGCACUCUUGUUCAAUCGCUUCAAUAUUCAGUUUGGCUGCUUCAGUGACGGUUGAUAGUUCAGGGGAAAAGUUGUCAAACUGAGGAAAAUGCUUCCUAAUAGUUAUAUCAAGUAUAUGAAGUAAACUUUUAGUGUUAUUGGCAUUUUUUAUCAAUGGAAGUCU
This is a non-coding RNA of Schizosaccharomyces pombe (fission yeast), 4339 nucleotides long. Lineage: Eukaryota; Fungi; Ascomycota; Schizosaccharomycetes; Schizosaccharomycetales; Schizosaccharomycetaceae. The record is from the annotation of a GenBank genome assembly.